Molecule: transfer RNA, 75 nt
Filed under: Chloroflexota bacterium
Lineage: Bacteria; Bacillati; Chloroflexota
Also listed under: 4 other names
Description: tRNA-Met
Rfam family: tRNA
About the family: Transfer RNA (tRNA) molecules are approximately 80 nucleotides in length.
Source: RNAcentral
CGCGGGGUGGAGCAGUGGAAGCUCGUUGGGCUCAUAACCCAAAGGUCGCAGGUUCGAAUCCUGCCCCCGCUACCA